CGAGAGUGUGGUCGCGAACGGAUCGGAAUAGGGACGAACUAUCCUUGGAUUUACGACGUGCAACAAGAUCGAUGUGUAACACCUUAUUGUAAUUUAGUAACACAGUAAACGCAGUCACAAUGUAAGCAUUAUAGGUGAGUUACGAGCUGUUCCGGGAUUAUGGCCGACGCGUUGACUUAGAAUUAUACCGACGUAGUUGGUAAGUGACUGCCAAGAGAGACAGGGUCAGAGACAUAGAAUGAGAGAGAAAGACAAAGAAAGAGAGAUGUAGGAAGGUAGAGAGAAAGAGUACCGGAACGAGAGUUGUAAGUAAUCAUCGCCCUUUAUCUCCUUUUCUUAUUUGCCUUUCCUUUCGUUGUUACCACCGACCGGCGCGGCGCGCGGAUAAGGUACACAGGAGAGCGCAAGUUCUCCCUUUGGGAAUUAUUAGUAAGCUAAAUUUGCCCCGGCGAUUAAGUGCAUUUAAUCAUCGGCAAGGUAAUUUUGUUACUUCCGCCGCGCGCGCGAUCCUCCGCCUCGGAGAUAUUUCCUUCCGUCAAGUCUAACGAGCGAGUGUUUACGCCCUCUUCGGGGGCUCUGCUCCGAUCUGUUUUUACUGAAAGUGAAAAAGAAGGAUCCAGGUGUUGCCUCGUCCUUCGCCGCUCGGCGUUUGUAUACUCGUUUGGAUGUUGGACCAGCCAUAUUUUAAGAUCUUUGCAUUUUCUCAUAUUCCUGUUUCGAAAUUCAAGAGAUGUUAUCCUCCCUCUUUUUUUUUUCAACAAAAGAUAUUCCAACACGAUACAUGUGCGAGAUAUUUAGCAAGGUGAUUUUUAAAUCGCGGAAUUCUUUGCGAAUUUUUCCUCGGUGGAAAUUAGCACAUUUGCGGCGCGUUAAAACAAUGUUAUGUACAUAAGCGAUAUAUUCGUUGAUAUGAAUUUUGCUCUUGAAAGCGGGCGCAUUAAUCUUUCCGUUUGUAUUUCGGAUUCAUUUACGGCAUAUUAUUCGCAAAUUGCAAAACGACGACAGACGCGCGGAGCGAGGUUCGCGAAUCAGAAAUUAAAAUCGUCGAUUUUUCGCGAUUUUUCCAAUUCUAUUUUAUACCAGCCCAGUCACAUCCGGUCCGGCCCGGUCCGGCCCAUGAACGAGUACAAUUAAAAACGAGAAAUCGCCGGAGAUAAUGCAUCGCGCGCGGUUUACGGCCGCGACGAAAAAUCGUUUGUUACUAUACAAAAUCAGUACCUACCACGUACAAACAAGAAUAUAUGCGACAGCAAAAAGAGAGAGAAAGAGAGAGAAAGGUAUUAACCGUGUAUAAAUUACAUCCCCGUGUGGACACGGGGUGAAUACCGAGCGGUUUAGCGCGUGCUAGCGAUAACUAACAAGCGUCGAAAACGGUGGCGCGUUUGUAAAAUGCUUGAUUGUAACUUAUGCGACUUCAUUAUACUGGCCGACGCGCCGUGAUAUGAUUGUGUCGCGCGUGCUGUGUGUUUUUUUUCCCAAUUUUGCAUCGCCGUGUGACGGCCGCGGUGUUGCUCGUUGCUGCAGUUUUUUUUCGCCCCCUCCCCUCCGAAUCAGCCGCCGCGCCCCGGCGCGAUAUCGCGCGAGUCUCGCGGAAAAGCCGAUCAUUUAUUAACAUCUUGCUUUACUGUUACGCGCGGCCGCUUGCAUGCGGUGCGCGCGCACGAUACAUCAAGUGGGGUGUUAAAAAUUAUCCUAUCGGUCGUUUGCGCCGUUUUUGCGAAAUAUAUAUAACAUUCGCGAAAUGCUUCCGCCGCGCGGUUAACGCGCCAUUUAUGCACGAUAUUGAUGGAAUCGCGUGUAUUAAUAUCGCGUUGUUUAUUCAAAACCUGCCCCGCGUGUUAUCAAAGAAAAUAAAUGCAACCGCCGGUGCCGAUGAUAAAAUGAUAAAAACCGCAGAACUUGAUUAAACUACCAAAAAUUCACCACUCAAAAGCGGAGACCUCUACACCUCUGCGGGUAAAUUCGACCGUGACACGCACAAUAUAUUUAUUCGAUUAUUAUUGGAAUUAAUAAUUUUAGCUGUAUUGCUGUAAUCAUAUAUAGGAAAUCAAAUUGUACAUCUAGUUUGUGAUAGAGUCAGGGGUUAAUAUUAGAAUUUUAUUUCACCUUAAGUAUAUUUUAUUUUCAAUCUUCUCUCGCGCAAACACGUAAUGAACAUUUUGCUUCCAUCUUGACUUCCCUCUCCAAUUACUGCUUAAUUAAUGUACAAUUCUCGUGUUGCUCGGGAAGGGACUAAUGUCCUGGAGCAUAAUAAAUGUUCCGUCUGCGUCUAUGUCUCCCUCUCCGCCUAUUAGACAACCCGCCAGCUCAGCUAUACAGGGUGGUCUGAGCUGUAAAUCAUGUUUAACUUUCAGUCGCGUGUUUAAUUUUCAAUAGAAAUAAAAUAUCCUCGAAUUUUUUUCACGUGAUGACGUUUCCUCCUUCUACUAUUUAGAUAUUUUAUUUUAUAAAUUUUCACAGAAAAUGACGUCAAGUUCAUACAGCAAAUCACAACGCCUGGCAUUGAUUAAAAGUGCGAACAAUAAUUUGUGUAAGUGGCAUAAAUCAAAGCUUUUACGUAAAUGCUACAUGCACCUCCGAUUUGUAACCGUAAAUUAAAUUCCCGCGUUACGGAAAUUUCACUCGCCGCGUCGAUUUCAAAAUAAACGACCGAUAUAUAUGUUAAUGCGACGCGGUCGCGUGCGAUUAUCGCCGGCGCCUAAUUCGCAUGAUCGAGUCCGGGGCUUCCGGUGUUUUCGUGUCAUCGGCUGUGUUAUAUUGCGCCAUGCGCUAUCGGGUGACGACGCCAUGGAUAAAUCAAUCGAAUUAUCCACACGCCACACACGAACGUCACGACGAUCGUUACUACCAGUAUCUCCACUCUGCCAUUACGAAGACAAUUUCGUUGAAAAAGAAAGAGAAAUGAAGAGAAAGAAAGAGAAGGAGAGAGAAAAUUAUUAAUUAUUCGGAGCACAUAGCCCUUUGUGCUAUAAAUACUCGUAAUAAUGCCCCUAACGAUUACUAUAUUUUUUCUCAUGUAAAAUAAUAAAUGGUAAAAUAUUAUUGUAACAUAA
Molecule: long non-coding RNA, 3053 nt
Organism: Wasmannia auropunctata (little fire ant)
Lineage: Eukaryota; Metazoa; Arthropoda; Insecta; Hymenoptera; Formicidae
Exons: 3
Source: RefSeq, a predicted model, not a curated record